RNAcentral lists this non-coding RNA (89 nucleotides) under uncultured Dysosmobacter sp. RNAcentral's name for it is "SAM riboswitch (S box leader)". It matches the Rfam family "SAM riboswitch aptamer (S box leader)". Rfam says of the family: The SAM riboswitch is found upstream of a number of genes which code for proteins involved in methionine or cysteine biosynthesis in Gram-positive bacteria. The SAM riboswitch acts at the level of transcription termination control. Lineage: Bacteria; Bacillati; Bacillota; Clostridia; Eubacteriales; Oscillospiraceae. The record is from RNAcentral.
CUUAUCAAGAGUGGCGGAGGGAACGGCCCGAUGAAACCACGGCAACCUGCGUUGUAAGGUGCCAAAUCCGACGGAUACCGACAGAUGAG